AUAACGGUCCUAAGGUAGCGAAAUUCCUUGUCGGGUAAGUUCCGACCUGCACGAAUGGCGUAACGAUGGGGGCGCUGUCUCUACCCGAGACUCAGUGAAAUUGAAAUCGCCGUGAAGAUGCGGUGUAUCCGCGGCUAGACGGAAAGACCCCGUGAACCUUUACUAUAGCUUCACAGUGAACUUUGAGCAUGUUUGUGUAGGAUAGCUGGGAGGCUUUGAAGUGGGAACGCCAGUUCUCAUGGAGCCAACCUUGAAAUACCAGCCUGACAUGUUUGAGGUUCUAACUUGGUCCCCUUAUCGGGGAUGAGGACACUGUGUGGUGGGUAGUUUGACUGGGGCGGUCUCCUCCCAAAGCGUAACGGAGGAGCACAAAGGUGGGCUAAGCAUGGUCGGACAUCAUGCGGUUAGUGUAAUGGCACAAGCCCGCUUAACUGCGAGACAGACACGUCGAGCAGGUACGAAAGUAGGUCAUAGUGAUCCGGUGGUUCUGUAUGGAAGGGCCAUCGCUCAACGGAUAAAAGGUACUCCGGGGAUAACAGGCUGAUACCGCCCAAGAGUUCACAUCGACGGCGGUGUUUGGCACCUCGAUGUCGGCUCAUCACAUCCUGGGGCUGAAGCCGGUCCCAAGGGUAUGGCUGUUCGCCAUUUAAAGUGGUACGCGAGCUGGGUUUAGAACGUCGUGAGACAGUUCGGUCCCUAUCUGCCGUGGACGUUGGAGAUUUGAGGAAAGCUGCUCCUAGUACGAGAGGACCGGAGUGGACGAACCUCUGGUGUUCGGGUUGUGACGCCAGUCGCAUUGCCCGGUAGCUAUGUUCGGACAGGAUAACCGCUGAAAGCAUCUAAGCGGGAAGCCCCUUCCAAGAUGAGAUCUCCCUGGACCCUCGAGGUCCCUGAAGAGCCGUUCAAGACCAGGACGUUGAUAGGUCGGGUGUGUAAGCGCUGCGAGGCGUUGAGCUAACCGAUACUAAUUGCUCGUGCGGCUUGAC
This 986-nucleotide ribosomal RNA is filed under the name Rhizochromulina marina. Its description in RNAcentral is "partial Bacterial large subunit ribosomal RNA". It matches the Rfam family "Bacterial large subunit ribosomal RNA", at positions 1942 to 2925 of the family's 2925-position model. Lineage: Eukaryota; Dictyochophyceae; Rhizochromulinales. The record is from RNAcentral.